AGAGUUUGAUCCUGGCUCAGAGCGAACGCUGGCGGCAGGCUAACACAUGCAAGUCGAGCGCCGUAGCAAUACGGAGCGGCAGACGGGAGAGUAACACGUGGGAACGUGCCCUUUGGUUCGGAACAGCACAGGGAAACUUGUGCUAAUACCGGGAUAAGCCCUUACGGGGAAAAGAUUUAUCGCCAAAAGGAUCGGCCCGCGUCUGAUUAGCUUGUUGGUGAGGUAACGGCUCACCAAGGCGACGAUCAGUAGCUGGUCUGAGAGGAUGAUCAGCCUCACUGGGACUGAGACACGGCCCAGACUCCUACGGGAGGCAGCAGUGGGGAAUAUUGGACAAUGGGCGCAAGCCUGAUCCAGCCAUGCCGCGUGGGUGAUGAAGGCCCUAGGGUUGUAAAGCCCUUUCGGCGGGGAAGAUAAUGACGGUACCCGCAGAAGAAGCCCCGGCUAACUUCGUGCCAGCAGCCGCGGUAAUACGAAGGGGGCUAGCGUUGCUCGGAAUCACUGGGCGUAAAGCGCACGUAGGCGGCUUUUUAAGUCAGGGGUGAAAUCCUGGAGCUCAACUCCAGAACUGCCUUUGAUACUGAGAAGCUUGAGUCCGGGAGAGGUGAGUGGAACUGCGAGUGUAGAGGUGAAAUUCGUAGAUAUUCGCAAGAACACCAGUGGCGAAGGCGGCUCACUGGCCCGGUACUGACGCUGAGGUGCGAAGGCGUGGGGAGCAAACAGGAUUAGAUACCCUGGUAGUCCACGCCGUAAACGAUGGAUGCUAGCCGUUGUCGGGUUUACUCGUCAGUGGCGCGAGCUAACGCAUUAAGCAUCC
This 817-nucleotide ribosomal RNA is filed under the name uncultured bacterium. RNAcentral describes it as "bacterial SSU rRNA". It matches the Rfam family "Bacterial small subunit ribosomal RNA", at positions 8 to 869 of the family's 1533-position model. The record is from RNAcentral.